AGUGAACGCUGGCGGUAGGCCUAACACAUGCAAGUCGAACGGCAGCACAGUAAGAGCUUGCUCUUACGGGUGGCGAGUGGCGGACGGGUGAGGAAUACAUCGGAAUCUACUUUUUCGUGGGGGAUAACGUAGGGAAACUUACGCUAAUACCGCAUACGACCUACGGGUGAAAGCAGGGGAUCUUCGGACCUUGCGCGAUUGAAUGAGCCGAUGUCGGAUUAGCUAGUUGGCGGGGUAAAGGCCCACCAAGGCGACGAUCCGUAGCUGGUCUGAGAGGAUGAUCAGCCACACUGGAACGGAGGCACGGUCCAGACGCCUACGGGAGGCAGCAGUGGGGAAUAUUGGACAAUGGGCGCAAGCCUGAUCCAGCCAUACCGCGUGGGUGAAGAAGGCCUUCGGGUUGUAAAGCCCUUUUGUUGGGAAAGAAAAGCAGCAGGUUGAUACCCCGCUGUUCUGACGGUACCCAAAGAACAAGCACCGGCUAACUUCGUG
RNAcentral lists this ribosomal RNA (492 nucleotides) under uncultured bacterium. Its description in RNAcentral is "partial 16S ribosomal RNA". It matches the Rfam family "Bacterial small subunit ribosomal RNA", at positions 29 to 507 of the family's 1533-position model. The record is from RNAcentral.